Long non-coding RNA from Canis lupus familiaris (dog), 893 nucleotides. RefSeq lists it as uncharacterized. The record is from RefSeq and is a predicted model, not a curated record. The transcript has 3 exons. Lineage: Eukaryota; Metazoa; Chordata; Mammalia; Carnivora; Canidae.
GCAGAGGUUCAGAAACUUUGGUAUACAUAAGAUUCCCCUGGGAAAUUUAUUGAAACUAUGAUUUCAGGGCCUAACCAAGAUUCUGAUUCCAUAUUCUCAGGUAUUACUCAGAAAUCUGUAUUUUCUGCAAAUACCAGAUGCAGGUGAUCCAAGUAUGGUAUUCUGAGAAACAUAGGAAAUGGGAUAAAGACACUUCUAGCAGUUCUCGAUCUUUGCUAGGUAGCUGUAUGCCAGCAACAGAACACUGAAUCUGCAGUCAUUGGAUCCAAGUUUGAGGGGUCUGGCUGUCACGUCUUAGGCAGGACAGAUUUCUCCUCUUAGUCAGAAAUGUGAUGGAAGAAGGCAGAAGAGAUGAGAUAUGAGGAAGACUCCACCACCAUUGCUGGCUUUGAAGAUGAAGGGGCCCACAAUCCAAAAAAUGUGGAGUGACUGGCCUUUUGAAGCUGAGAACAACUCUAGCCCAACAGCCAGCAAAGAAAUGGGAACCUCACUCCUGUAACUGCAUGGAACUAUAUGCUGCCAAUAACAUGCAUGAUCACAUUCUCCCCGAGAGUUUCAUAAUAAGGAUAGCAAUCCUGCCACCUUGGUUUUAGCCUGGUAAGACCCAUAUAGACUUCUGACCUAUAAAACUGUAAGAUAAUAAAUUGUGUUUGGUGUAAGCUGCUAAGUUGGUGUUAAUUUGUUAUGGCAGCAAUAGGAAACUAAUACAAAAAGAAUGUGAGCUUUCCAGUUGAGUGCAGUGUUUCAUAUUUAUCCACCAGAUGAAGUUUCUUAAUUAUGUUUAGAUCUACUAUACUCUUACUAAUUAUCUGUCUUAUGAAUAAUUGAGAAAGAUACAGGUGGAUUUUUCUCAGUUUCUCUUUGUAGCUCUGUCAAUUUAUACUUUAUGUGUU